UUAUAUAUGUAGCAAUACAUAUAUAACUUAGUGGCAGACAGGUGAGUAACACGUAGGUAACCUACCCUCGAGCGGGGGGCAACUCAGGGAAACUUGGGCUAAUACCGCAUAAGACCACGGACUGGGAUGUUUGUGGGAAAAGGAGCAAUUCACUUGGGGAUGGGCCUGCGGCCUAUCAGGUAGUUGGUGGGGUAAAGGCCUACCAAGCCAGAGACGGGUAGCCGGUCUGAGAGGACGAACGGCCACACUGGAACUGAGACACGGUCCAGACUCCUACGGGAGGCAGCAGUGGGGAAUUUUGCACAAUGGGCGAAAGCCUGAUGCAGCGACGCCGCGUGGAGGACGAAGGCCUUCGGG
Molecule: ribosomal RNA, 357 nt
Filed under: uncultured bacterium
Lineage: Bacteria
Description: bacterial SSU rRNA
Rfam family: Bacterial small subunit ribosomal RNA
Source: RNAcentral